UCCUCCCACUCUUCACAUCCCACUCUUAUCAGGCGCUGCAGUCAGCAUCUUUGACCUAUAUUUGAUUCCCUUUUGCAAUAUGCGCAUUUGAUCAUGAAAGUGCCUGGGAAAGGUUCCUUCUAAACCACAAAACAAGGAUCCCAUCCGGGGUGCCACAUCGCAGUUGCUCAUCAAAUCUCCUCAGGCUCUUCUUGGCUUGUACCAGUUCCUCAGACUGUGUGUGCUUUUGAUGACCUUGACAGUUGGCAGGGCACUGGCCAGGUAUGUUGUAGACUAGCCCUCUAACUGGGAUCGGCGUGGAAUUUGUCUCAUGAUGAGCCUGGGGUUAUGGACUGGAGUGAGGAAGACCACAUAGGAGAAGCGCCAUUUUCAUCGCAUGGAGCCAACAGCACAGACUAGACACAGGACUUAUCACUGAGGUGGCUGAAGGCUGAUCCCCUGGCUGAGGUUGUAUUCGCCAGGUUUCUCUACGGGCUCAUGGAAAGGAAGAAGAGGAGAAUAUUAGCACCAGAAGGGACCUUCGUGAUGACAGAGAUUCAUCACGCCUGACAGAUGAGGAAACUACAAGGCUAGAAGAUCUCCGGACAGUCCCUCAGCAAUCAUAAAAGGGCUCUGAAGAAGCCGACUGAAGAACCUAUGCAGCUCACAGUAACUACCAUCAUCAUAGGCCCUCUCUUCUGCAGAACACCCACAGAUACCGGGUGAUCUUGUGUCCUACUGAAGAGAACCUGUGGGAAGCGCUGGACUACCUCAGAGAUGCCUUCACCUGUCAUUAUGCUGCUGCCCGCUUGGGAAAGCUCUGGUUCCUCCCUACUCUCUCCCAUCUCAUUAUUCUCUGCUCCACUUCCCUUGGUCUUUUGGAUUCUUUACAUCUCCACUCCACUGACUACUCCAUAUUUUACCCUGUGGUCUUAGUGUUCUUAUUUAUGUGCCCCCCACUUUUUUUCAUUAUGACUUUGUCACCUCUCAAACCUAGAUUUCUUUUUUCAUUCCCUUUAACCUCUGCUCCAGAUCAGAGUUUCCUUCCCAAGCAAGUUUAAGGGCCCCAAUAAUAAGGCAAGUUGGUCUUCAGCUACUUAAUUACCUUUUACCGCCUCUGCCAACCACACUUUGUUCUUUCUCUAAGGACCUUCCUGCCUUAAAAUAGUGUUCUCUCUGUGUACCAGUUUGUAUGUGUAUGCAUUGUUUUUAAAAUCGAAGUAGAGUUGAUACACGGUAUGUCCUCACAUUUUUCUUAAUAUUUUUGCACCGUGACUCUUUUGCCUUUUUAGCAUGUUUUAUCUUUAUUUUUUCCAUUCAAAAAAUUGUGCAGUGACUAUUUUUGUCUCCACAUUAUGUGCUUGCCUUUCAAAAAUUUUAUAGUACAAUGUCACAUACUUGUAAAUAAAUUGUUGUAAUAAAGCCCUCCACAUA
Molecule: long non-coding RNA, 1413 nt
Organism: Canis lupus familiaris (dog)
Lineage: Eukaryota; Metazoa; Chordata; Mammalia; Carnivora; Canidae
Exons: 5
Source: RefSeq, a predicted model, not a curated record